AUGAACGCUGGCGGCGUGCCUAAUACAUGCAAGUCGAGCGAACAGACGAGGAGCUUGCUCCUCUGACGUUAGCGGCGGACGGGUGAGUAACACGUGGAUAACCUACCUAUAAGACUGGGAUAACUUCGGGAAACCGGAGCUAAUACCGGAUAAUAUAUUGAACCGCAUGGUUCAAUAGUGAAAGACGGUUUUGCUGUCACUUAUAGAUGGAUCCGCGCCGCAUUAGCUAGUUGGUAAGGUAACGGCUUACCAAGGCAACGAUGCGUAGCCGACCUGAGAGGGUGGUCGGCCACACGGGAACUGAGACACGGUCCAGACUCCUACGGGAGGCAGCGGUAGGGAAUCUUCCGCGAUGGGCGAAAGCCUAACGGAGCAACGCCGCGUGAGGGAUGAAGGUCUUCGGAUCGUAAAACUCUGUUAUUAGGGGAGAACAAAUGUGUAAGUAACUAUGCACGUCUUGACGGUACCUAAUCAGAAAGCCACGGCUAACUACGUG
RNAcentral lists this ribosomal RNA (496 nucleotides) under uncultured bacterium. RNAcentral describes it as "partial 16S ribosomal RNA". It matches the Rfam family "Bacterial small subunit ribosomal RNA", at positions 29 to 507 of the family's 1533-position model. The record is from RNAcentral.